UCUCAUGAUUGUCCAUGAUGAUGAGGU
Molecule: small RNA, 27 nt
Filed under: Bombyx mori (domestic silkworm)
Lineage: Eukaryota; Metazoa; Arthropoda; Insecta; Lepidoptera; Bombycidae
Description: ovarian small RNA-7712
Source: RNAcentral